GGGACUGAUGAUGAGAUCUGGUGGCAUAUGAGUGUUUCUCCAUGACUGCCAUGUGUACAGAAAUCUGAGAUAAAA
This is a small nucleolar RNA of Acomys russatus (golden spiny mouse), 75 nucleotides long. RefSeq annotates it as small nucleolar RNA SNORD113/SNORD114 family. Lineage: Eukaryota; Metazoa; Chordata; Mammalia; Rodentia; Muridae. The record is from RefSeq and is a predicted model, not a curated record. The transcript has a single exon.